This is a long non-coding RNA of Eptesicus fuscus (big brown bat), 377 nucleotides long. RefSeq lists it as uncharacterized. NCBI's taxonomy places the organism in Eukaryota, Metazoa, Chordata, Mammalia, Chiroptera, Vespertilionidae. The transcript is spliced from 4 exons. The record is from RefSeq and is a predicted model, not a curated record.
UGGCACGUCAUGAGAUGCCCAGGACUAGGCUGAAACAUCUGUUUUAGCAAAAGAGGAAGGAAAGGCAGCAAAUACUUGGGCCAACAGCCUCUGCAGGACCAAAUUGACAGCUCUUUAAAGGCGGCUGACGAAAAGCAGCAUUAAUUAAGUCAUUGCCGGACUGUAAUUGUGUUAAGAAGUAAAAAUCUAAUAUGAGAAAAGCAGGUCUCAUCUCCCUGAAGCUUCAUCCUCUUUCAAAGGCUCCUCCGACUAUGUGCAACCCACCCAGAGGAAUCUCCAUUUGAUCAACUACAAGUCAACUGUUAUUUGUUCGACUGCUCCCUGAGUCAUUCGUUAGUGAAAUUGUUUUCCAGCAGAGGCUUCCCGAGUACCUCUGU